UCUCCCUCUCCCCCUCUCUCCUUCUCUCUCCCCCUCUCCCCACCCCUCCCUCCCUCUCUCUCUCUCUCCAUCUCUCCCCCUUUCUCCCUCUCUCCCUCUCUUGGGCAGGGAUGGGGGCACAGGAAGGGUGUGGCGUGGAGAGAGACGCUGAGGCUGGGUGUCCAUCACAGGAGCAAAGAGCGCCGGGGUGGACACGUGGAGAUCCUCCCACUGGAAAACUGGAACACAAAGCCACGUGCACUAGGAUUUCCCACUGUGCACUCAGACAAGCUCUGAAGGAUGGGACAGCACCCAGGAGGGAGGCACCUGUCCUCUGAAGAGACGGGCUCCUGGGAUCACCGCCACUUUGGUCUCCCAUGGCCACGUAGACCCUGAGCAGGCGCUCGGUCAGUGGAAGUGGAAUGAAUGGGCGGCUUCUCCCGAAGGCAGAUAAGAGCCUCCCCACCUGACAACUUGCCCUGAGGCCCCCUGUCCACUCCCAACCCCCAGCCUUUCCCAGGGGAAAACCCUUCCAGCUGGAGCACCCAGGAGCCGCAGGAGACCAGGUAGGAAUCUUUCCCCCCACUGAUUCUGUUCACACCUCUAGCUUAAUGAGCCCAAGCUGCUGGGGGGGUCUGGGUCACACCUUUUCACUUGAUUAAAGCAAAACACAGAUGCGCUGGCAGCAGCGUCCUCGUGAGCACGGAGCUUCCCGCCUCACAGGGACGGCUGCUACACGAAGAAGGGGCUCAAGGGCACCGAGUCAGCCCCGGGAGCACUUAUGCAGGACGUGCCAGUCAGAGCUGGGGUUAGGGUCAGGCAGCACUUGGGUUCCGCCCUGCCUUUGGCCACCAGCCUCCACGACGGAGGUCCAGCCCCACUGUGCCCGCCUCCUGUGUCCGUGCCCACGUACAGUCCCAUCCCAGCUGAAGAGGGCUGACCUGGGCAGGAAUGUGAGUGACUCUGGGCAAGGUCAUGACCAGCACUGAGCUUCCUCCUGCCUCUCUGAUCGCUCACCCCAGGGGGAGCCACGUUGUGAGGGCACUCAGGCAGCCCCGGGGAGAGGCCACACGGGAGGAGCUGAGGCCUCCUGCCCACAGCCAGGGGAGGAGCCUCCUUGGAGGCGGAUGGAGCCUUCAGGGGAGACGGGAGCCCUGCCGACACUCCAGCUGCAGCCUCACUCGAGUCCCAGCCAGGGCCGCCAGGCCGAGCCACUUCUGGGUUCGGGACCCACAGAAACUGACACCAUAAGUGUGUUGUUGUAGCUGCUAAGUUUGGAGUGAUUUGAACAUAGAAACAGAGAGCCAAUACCCUGCUUCUGCUAGCUACAGUUGUGUGAUAGCAGGCAGAUUAAUCUCUCUGAGUGUCAGCUUCUCACCCGAGAAUAAGAAUGCCUACCUCCAAUGGAUGUUAUAAAAAUUAAAUAAGCUCUUGGCAUUGGGCCUGGGAUACAGCAAAUGCUGAAAAACUAGCUGUCAUCAUUAUUAUGAAAUAUUUACAUAAAUAUAUCACAAGAUGCGAAGGGCUCAGGAAGACCUCACUUCAAACAGGUGGGUUCAAGGAAGGCUUUGUGGAAAAGUAAUGUUUGACUUGGUCCUUGAAGGAGAGCAGGAUCUGGACCCGAGGAGAUGGCAGGAAGGGCAGGAGGGUCCCCGUGGGCAGUUCACGCUCAGCGUAAACUCGGGCAACAGGAGGUGAGACUGUGAAGGCUGGCUGGGGUCAGAUUGGGCUGCUGGCAUUAAGGGGUCUGGAAUUUACAUGCUGGGAAGUGAAGCCACCGGUUCUGAGUCAGUGGAAGUGGAACGAAUGGGACGGCUUCUCCCGAAGGCAGAUAAGAGCCUCCCCAUCUGACAACUUGCCCUGAGGCCCCCUGUCCACAGGAGCGAGAACCCCAGGCACGGCCCCCCAGCACACAGGAGCCCUUCGGAAGAGGUGCUGAAUGAAUUCAAUUCUCCCCGACCCCCAAAGCAUCCCCUCUUGGAUUCCGGCAGGAGCAAAUAUUAAAGAGGGUGCCUGGGGCUGGAAGGAACGGUUGUCAGGCUGCUGCUGCAACCGAUCCGUUUUCUCCCAAGCCCAGGAUCCAGCUGUGUCUGCUGUCUGACAAACGUUUCCACUCGACCUCCCUUCCUCCCUCUGAACCCUGAGUUUGUUCAUGUUCCCAACUUCCCCGCGAGCCAUGUGGGGAAGAGAGUUGUGUCCCAGACCUCCAGCCCCAGAGGGCAGAUCACGAUUGGCCUAAACCAGCCACAGGGUCUCAUCCCCUUGCCAGAGAGUCUGGCCCAAGGAUGUGAGGGCAAGUCUGGGCAGGUUCUCCUCACGCAGGAAACAAGAUGCGUUGGAAGAAGCAGCCCCUCUUUUUUCCUGGUGGACGCUGUGUCUGUGUGUGAUGUCUGGAAUUGCCACUGCCAUCUUGUAACCAUGAGGAGUGCCGUCCUGAGAGUGAGCCAGUGGGAAGCCAG
Aethalodelphis obliquidens (Pacific white-sided dolphin) is the source of this 2438-nucleotide long non-coding RNA. RefSeq lists it as uncharacterized. The record is from RefSeq and is a predicted model, not a curated record. Lineage: Eukaryota; Metazoa; Chordata; Mammalia; Artiodactyla; Delphinidae. The transcript is spliced from 3 exons.